UCUACUUAUCUGACUGCAGAGAGGAUGACAGAGAACAGUGGACACACAGUUUAACAUGAUGGACUAUAGGACAGGACUGCUGCUGUUAACUAUCUGCUGGGCAGGUGUUGAUGGUCAGACUCUGACAGAAUCUGAACCAGUGGUUAAAAGGCCUGGAGAAUCUCACAGAUUGACCUGUACAGCCUCUGGAUUUAACUUUGCUGGCUACUGGAUGGCCUGGAUCAGACAGGCUCCUGGAAAAGGACUAGAGUGGAUUGCUUAUAUCAACAGUGGCAGUGGUAGCAGCAAAUACUACUCUCAGUCAGUUCAAGGCCGGUUUACCAUCUCCAGAGAAAACAGCAGACAGCAGCUGUAUCUGCAGAUGAACAGUCUGAAGACUGAAGAUUCUGCUGUUUAUUAUUGUGCUCGAGACUCACAGUGACACAGGAA
Molecule: non-coding RNA, 429 nt
Organism: Dicentrarchus labrax (European seabass)
Lineage: Eukaryota; Metazoa; Chordata; Actinopteri; Moronidae
Source: the annotation of a RefSeq genome assembly